UACGUAGGUGGCAAGCGUUGUCCGGAUUUAUUGGGUUUAAAGGGUUCGUAGGCGGCUUUAUAAGUCAGUGCUGAAAUAUCCCGGCUUAACCGGGAGGGUGGCAUUGAUACUGCAGAGCUUGAGUGAAGUCGAGGUAGGCGGAAUUGACGGUGUAGCGGUGAAAUGCUUAGAUAUCGUCAAGAACACCGAUAGUGAAGACAGCUUACUAGACUUCAACUGACGCUGAGGCACGAAAGUGUGGGGAUCAAACAGG
Molecule: ribosomal RNA, 253 nt
Filed under: uncultured bacterium
Lineage: Bacteria
Description: partial 16S ribosomal RNA
Rfam family: Bacterial small subunit ribosomal RNA
Source: RNAcentral